RNAcentral lists this long non-coding RNA (715 nucleotides) under Monodelphis domestica (gray short-tailed opossum). RNAcentral's name for it is "lncRNA (ENSMODG00000037412.1)". The record is from RNAcentral. Lineage: Eukaryota; Metazoa; Chordata; Mammalia; Didelphimorphia; Didelphidae.
GGAAGUGAUAUAAAAAAUGGUCUAUAUAUUUUGCAUCACUUCCUCUCUCCUGUCUCUUUUCUCAGAGAGGUGGCUCUGGCUCUUUUGGUGGAGAGGUGGCUGGUGGCAGUGUGCUGGGCAUCUUGGCGUCUUGGCAUGGCUGCAGCUAUUGUCCAGGUUUGGCGGUGAGAGUCCUUGAUACAAUACUGGGAGAAGCUUAGUAGCGUGGUUCAGGGGAAGAUGACUUUGGCAGCUUCCUGGUGCCACCUCUGGGGAAGGACGAUGCCAAGGAACUGGCUCUGGCUGGAGAAGGAUGACUGGGGCGGCCGGUGGCAUCUAGCUGAAGGGAAUGGACGUGUUCAGCCAAGACAAGAGAAGACUUGGGCAACAACCUUGAGCUGCCUUCAGAGAGAUCUUCCUGUGUCUUGGAAUCUUUCAUAGUCUUCACUUCUUCACUGAGUGGAAGAUAGAAUCUGGCCCAUCGCCAUCAGCCUCUUCUCAUUGGCGCUGCUGAUUCACUGGACUUUCUCUCCCGUGCCCCUGGAAGGGGAAGAGGGUACCCCGGACCUCUCCUCUCAUUCCUUUCCAUUCACUUUAAUGUUUUUUCUUCCCCAUUAGAAUGUGAGUUUCUUGAGGGCUGGGACCACCCUUUCUGCUUCUGCUUGUAUUCUCUGCUUUUAGGACCAGUUUUUUCAGACAUUCCCUAUAAUCUAUUCAUUAAAAAAAUAUCCUAUGA